AUUAUUGGGCGUAAAGCGUUUGUAGGCGGGCGAGUGUGUUUAAUGUUAAAUCUUAAAGCUCAACUUUGAAAUUGCGUUAAAAACUGCUUGUCUUGAGUAUGGUAGGGGUAAAGGGAAUUCCCAGUGUAGCGGUGAAAUGCGUAGAUAUUGGGAAGAACACUAAACAGCGAAGGCACUUUACUAGGCUAAUACUGACGCUGAGAAACGAAAGGUAAGGUAGCGAAACGGAUUAGAUACCCGUGUAGUCUUACCCGUAAACUAUGGACACUAAACGGUAAAUUUUUAAUUUACUGUUAAAGCUAACGCGUUAAGUGUCCCGCCUGGGGAGUAUGCUUGCAAAAGUGAAACUCAAAGGAAUUGACGGGGGCCCGCACAAGCGGUGGAGCAUGUGGUUUAAUUCGACGGUACACGAAGAACCUUACCAGGAUUUGACAUGCUAGAUAGUUGCUCGAAAGAGUAACGUGCCGUAAGGAAUCUAGACACAGGUGGUGCAUGGCUGUCGUCAGUUCGUGUUGUGAAAUGUUGGGUUAAGUCCCGCAACGAACGCAACCCUUGUCUUUAGUUAUUUUCUAAAGAGGCUGCCUGUAAUAAACAGGAGGAAGGUAAGGAUGAGGUCAAGUCAUCAUGCCCCUUAUGUCCUGGGCUACACACGUGCUACAAUGGGAAAGACAAUGAGCUGCAAAUCUGUAAAUUUAAGCAAAUCUCUUAAACUUUCUCGUAGUUCGGAUUGUGGGCUGCAACUCGCCCACAUGAAGUUGGAAUCGCUAGUAAUCGCCAGUCAGCUAUAUGGCGGUGAAUCCGUUCCCGGGCCU
This 812-nucleotide ribosomal RNA is filed under the name uncultured bacterium. RNAcentral describes it as "bacterial SSU rRNA". It matches the Rfam family "Bacterial small subunit ribosomal RNA", at positions 550 to 1381 of the family's 1533-position model. The record is from RNAcentral.